AACGUGCCAGAGAGGAAGCGGAGGAGGACGAUCCCAGUGUCCGCGUUGUCAUUAAGAGGAAUGAGCCGCUGCCGUCGUCGUCACCUCAGGAUGGGGUGGAACAUGGCCUGCUUCACCAACUUCGCAACAUGUGGGAGUUCUCAAAUCUCAUCCAGUUUAUCUACUCGUUCGGGAAGGCAGUGAAGAUUAGUGGGGAUAUUGAUAUUGACGAACUGGAAUCCGAAUGUCUUAAGCCUGGCCCUUCGGAAAAACUUCUCGAUAUCGGCUUAACCCUGCUGAAAUUUGUCUCAUCCCAUCGCGGACUCACAUAUGAAAACUUUGAAGACUACACUAGGAGACAAUAUCUAGCGAAAGCACCCUCUCGUAACCCAUUCGGUGACGCGGAGGAACCGAUAAAGUUUCAUGAUCUAGAUCUUUUCCAGCGAAUACGUGUCUUGCAGCAAUUGUCUGUAUGGACGUUCUGGAACCCAGAUCGCAUACGUGAGCGGAUGCCGGAAAGCAAAGAAACGGACC
This 513-nucleotide small RNA is filed under the name Histoplasma capsulatum. RNAcentral describes it as "hypothetical RNA". Lineage: Eukaryota; Fungi; Ascomycota; Eurotiomycetes; Onygenales; Ajellomycetaceae. The record is from RNAcentral. RNAcentral also lists the same sequence under 1 other name.